This 58-nucleotide transfer RNA is filed under the name Salmo salar (Atlantic salmon). It matches the Rfam family "tRNA", at positions 8 to 63 of the family's 71-position model. From Rfam's summary of the family: Transfer RNA (tRNA) molecules are approximately 80 nucleotides in length. Their secondary structure includes four short double-helical elements and three loops (D, anti-codon, and T loops). The record is from Rfam by way of RNAcentral. RNAcentral also lists the same sequence under 1 other name. Lineage: Eukaryota; Metazoa; Chordata; Actinopteri; Salmoniformes; Salmonidae.
UGGCUCAGGUGGUAGAGCAUGGCGCUUGCAAUGCCAGGGUUGUGGGUUUGAUUCCCAC